UACGAAGGGUGCAAGCGUUACUCGGAAUUACUGGGCGUAAAGCGUGCGUAGGUGGUUUGUUAAGUCUGAUGUGAAAUCCCCGGGCUCAACCUGGGGAAUGGCAUUGGAUACUGGCAGGCUAGAGUGCGGUAGAGGGUGGUGGAAUUCCCGGUGUAGCAGUGAAAUGCGUAGAGAUCGGGAGGAACAUCUGUGGCGAAGGCGGCCACCUGGACCAGCACUGACACUGAGGCACGAAAGCGUGGGGAGCAAACAGG
This 254-nucleotide ribosomal RNA is filed under the name uncultured bacterium. RNAcentral describes it as "partial 16S ribosomal RNA". It matches the Rfam family "Bacterial small subunit ribosomal RNA", at positions 524 to 776 of the family's 1533-position model. The record is from RNAcentral.